GUUCCCCCUUGCUUACCAACUGCCGCAUGGAAUCGAGCGGUAGACUGGAUUCUUUAACGGGGAAAAGACAGUGCAAUACGCAGGAACAUGACGCAAUUAGUUAUCGCCGACGUCAUGAUUACAUACUAUCCUACGCCAGGGGUGCGCCAUGUUCUCACGAACUCAAGAAGGAAUUCAAUUCUCCACAACUCCACAUUCCCCAACAAACUAGCUUCAGAAAGAAAAUAAAAAUGCCUAGUUUUAUCGUCAUUGCUGGCGCAUGAUAGCCUUCAACCGCUGUAUAAAAGGCCCUUUCAAAUAAAUCGCUUAUUCAGUGUCAGUCUGUUAACAGCUUCACCGCUUCGCGAAAACCUUCACUUUCAGACUUCCAAAUUCUGUAAAGUAAGUUAAUUUUUGAGUUGCAUAUCAGAACUUGAAAGAUUCUUAGAUUGCGAAUUUGUUCAAUUUAUGCAAUUUAAAGUUUAAAUUAAGUGAUUGUUUAGUUAUUUUAAUAGGUUUGAAUCAACUGCCUUUUGUUAGAAUGGGGGAGAAGAGAGUGUUGUUGCCGGCGAGUGAAGUUGAUAUGACGGCUGUCAAGUAUACGCCUCAAAGAAUUCAAGGUUCUCCUUCCGUAAAUCCUACUUGAUUAAUUUACUUUUUUAAACAGAAAAUCAAC
This 655-nucleotide long non-coding RNA is filed under the name Nicotiana tabacum (common tobacco). RNAcentral describes it as "long non-coding RNA (NTAB_LNC014482)". The record is from RNAcentral. Lineage: Eukaryota; Viridiplantae; Streptophyta; Magnoliopsida; Solanales; Solanaceae.